CUACGGGUGGCACCAGUGGGGAAUAUUGCACAAUGGGCGCAAGCCUGAUGCAGCCAUGCCGCGUGUAUGAAGAAGGCCUUCGGGUUGUAAAGUACUUUCAGCGGGGAGGAAGGGAGUAAAGUUAAUACCUUUGCUCAUUGACGUUACCCGCAGAAGAAGCACCGGCUAACUCCGUGCCAGCAGCCGCGGUAAUACGGAGGGUACAAGCGUUAAUCGGAAUUACUGGGCGUAAAGCGCACGCAGGCGGUUUGUUAAGUCAGAUGUGAAAUCCCCGGGCUCAACCUGGGAACUGCAUCUGAUACUGGCAAGCUUGAGUCUCGUAGAGGGGGGUAGAAUUCCAGGUGUAGCGGUGAAAUGCGUAGAGAUCUGGAGGAAUACCGGUGGCGAAGGCGGCCCCCUGGACGAAGACUGACGCUCAGGUACGAAAGCGUGGGGAGCAAACAGGAUUAGAUACCCGGGUAGUC
RNAcentral lists this ribosomal RNA (464 nucleotides) under uncultured bacterium. RNAcentral describes it as "partial 16S ribosomal RNA". It matches the Rfam family "Bacterial small subunit ribosomal RNA", at positions 339 to 795 of the family's 1533-position model. The record is from RNAcentral.